Lemur catta (Ring-tailed lemur) is the source of this 104-nucleotide small nucleolar RNA. RefSeq annotates it as small nucleolar RNA U13. The transcript has a single exon. Lineage: Eukaryota; Metazoa; Chordata; Mammalia; Primates; Lemuridae. The record is from RefSeq and is a predicted model, not a curated record.
AUCCUUUUGCAGUUCAUAAGUGUGAGGACUGGGUUUUCACACUCACGUGUGAGAUGUGCUUCCCUUAAGCCUUGUUAUGACAUCAACACAUUACCCGCCUGAUA